UGAGCUUGAAAGGCAAUCGCUUGAGUUCGCUCAAGAGGAAAGUCCGGGCAACACAGAGCGAGGCAGUCGCUAACGGCGACCGUCCGCAAGGAUAGGGAAAGUACCACAGAAACAAUACUGCCGGCUUGCCGGUGAUGGUGAAAAGAGUGGGGUAAGAGCCCACAGCGCUUCGUAGCGAUACGUAGCGGCGGCAAACCCUGCCUGUUGCAAGGAGUGCUAUCAGCCUUUGCUCGAGGACGCACGCUUACCGCUAGAGUGCUAUAGCAAUGUAGUGCCAAGAUAGAUGAUUGCCAGUCUCGCUUGCGAGGCUACAGAACCCGGCUUAUAGAUGGCUCAUAUC
RNAcentral lists this RNase P RNA (340 nucleotides) under Candidatus Saccharimonadota bacterium. RNAcentral describes it as "RNase P RNA component class A". It matches the Rfam family "Bacterial RNase P class A". Rfam says of the family: Ribonuclease P (RNase P) is a ubiquitous endoribonuclease, found in archaea, bacteria and eukarya as well as chloroplasts and mitochondria. Lineage: Bacteria; Candidatus Saccharimonadota. The record is from RNAcentral.